RNAcentral lists this ribosomal RNA (496 nucleotides) under uncultured bacterium. RNAcentral describes it as "partial 16S ribosomal RNA". It matches the Rfam family "Bacterial small subunit ribosomal RNA", at positions 28 to 506 of the family's 1533-position model. The record is from RNAcentral.
GAUGAACGCUGGCGGCGUGCCUAAUACAUGCCAGUCGAGCGAACAGACGAGGAGCUUGCUCCUCUGACGUUAGCGGCGGACGGGUGAGUCACACGUGUAUACCCUACCUAUCAGACUGGGAUAACUUCGGGAAACCGGAGCUAAUCCCGUAUAAUAUAUUGAACCGCAUGGUUCAAUAGUGAGAGACGGUUUUGCGGUCACUUAUAGAUGGAUCCGCGCCGCAUUAGCUAGUUGGUAGGGUAACGACUUACCAAGGCGACGAUGCGUAGCCGACCUGAGGGGGUGAUGGGCCACAGUGGAAGUGAGCGACGGCCCAGACUCCGACGGGAGGCAGCAGUAGGGAAUCUACCGCAAAGGGCGAAAGCCUGACGGAGCAACGCAGCGUGAGUGAUGAAGGUCUUCGGGUCGGAAAACUCUGUUAGUGGGGAAGAACAAAUGUGUAAGUAACUAUGCACGUCUUGACGGAACCGAAACAGAAAGCCACGGCUAAUUACGG